AAAUUGAAGAGUUUGAUCAUGGCUCAGAUUGAACGCUGGCGGCAGGCCUAACACAUGCAAGUCGAACGGUAACAGGAAGAAGCUUGCUUCUUUGCUGACGAGUGGCGGAC
This 110-nucleotide ribosomal RNA is filed under the name Escherichia coli. Its description in RNAcentral is "partial 16S ribosomal RNA". It matches the Rfam family "Bacterial small subunit ribosomal RNA", at positions 1 to 103 of the family's 1533-position model. RNAcentral also lists the same sequence under 1 other name. The record is from RNAcentral. Lineage: Bacteria; Pseudomonadati; Pseudomonadota; Gammaproteobacteria; Enterobacterales; Enterobacteriaceae.